CAUCACAAAGGCUAUUGUCCAUAGGGUCACAAAGAGUCAGAUACGACUAAAGAGACUUAGCAUGCACACAUGCAUGAACUCUAAUGGAAGAUAAGACAUCUUCAAACACACAGGAAAUAAUUAUUUGGACAUUAAAGAGAAGAGUAAUCCCAGAGACUGGAAUACUUUAGCAUGCUGGUACCUGCAUCAUCUCAUAUCCUCCCUGGCCAGUUCUGUUCACCAUCAAUACUCACAAACUUUUCCUUGUCGUUUCAAGGCUUGAGUUUUUACAGUCUGAUACCUGUGAAUAAUGGUGAUGGUUUACUAUGAUCCCAGUUUCAAGAGGCCAUUAGCAAUUUUUUCAACAGUCUUCAGGAAUGUGUGUACUUAUGAAGAGCUCUGGGGUCCAGAAGAAGUAUUUUGAAGGAAGAGAAUUAUUGGUGUCACCUCACCCUAUUGUAUUCUUGGAAGUCAGCUCGCCAGGGCACUCGCACCAAGGAGGAGACAUGUUGCCAUUUCAGAAGCCUCAAGCCCACAAACCUCCAGGGGGAACGAUGAGUGCCUGAACCCCACUCGCCUCUGGCUCCUGGGGCGGCCCUGCCCAUCACCUUAGACCAGGCACACACCUGAAAGGAAAAAUGUAAGCCAUCCCACUUCUUACCUUCACAAAUGCUUUAAACACAGGCUUGGAAAAUCUGCGGGUUCCUAACACGUUCUCAGAUAUAUGCCUUUGCGCCUGGCGGAGGUGAACUGAUACGGUGCUCAGUGGAAGGAAUUCGGCUCCUGCCAGGAGACAGUGAGGGGCUGUGGAGCCAUAUAACCAGGGGCGAACAGUGAACGCCCUCUCUCCUUGGAAACUCCGACCACCCCGAGCCUCAGAGAAGUCUGGCUCAGCUGCAUCGCCUGUUAGCCUAACGAUCCACCGGGGACGCUGGUACAUCCGUGGCUGGAGCCUUAUUAUUGGAUUGUGAGCAUUGCAAUGGAUGAGGCACAAGGCCAGCAACCGGGUGGCAUUGACAAGUCUUGGCCCCAGUAGGUACAGUGUGUGGAGGCUGAACAAAUCUCAACCUUAUUUUUUUCUAUCACUCCAUUGAUAGAUCGCAAAAAACUGCCGGCAUACCUUUGCUUACCCCUGCCCCCUUCGCAAUCGAGGGCAAACCUAUUGAAGAAUAAAGAGUAAAAUAAUCACCAUAAUAGGGAUGAGAAAAUGGCACACUAAUGAUCCGACGUUAAAGUAUAAUGUAAUAAAAACAACUUUACCUCAUGUACUUUCAAUACAUUUCAUAUACCACACAGCAAUUUACUG
Molecule: long non-coding RNA, 1285 nt
Filed under: Capra hircus (goat)
Lineage: Eukaryota; Metazoa; Chordata; Mammalia; Artiodactyla; Bovidae
Description: lncRNA (ENSCHIG00000000912.1)
Source: RNAcentral